UCAGGCCUAACACAUGCAAGUCGAACGAACCCUUCGGGGUUAGUGGCGCACGGGUGCGUAACGCGUGGGGAUCUGCCCUUUGCUUCGGAAUAACAGUUAGAAAUGACUGCUAAUACCGGAUGAUGUCGCAAGACCAAAGAUUUAUCGGCAAAGGAUGAACCCGCGUAGGAUUAGCUAGUUGGUGGGGUAAAGGCCUACCAAGGCGACGAUCCUUAGCUGGUCUGAGAGGAUGAUCAGCCACACUGGGACUGAGACACGGCCCAGACUCCUACGGGAGGCAGCAGUGGGGAAUAUUGGACAAUGGGCGAAAGCCUGAUCCAGCAAUGCCGCGGAGAGAUGAAGGCCUUCGGGUUGUAAAGCUCUUUACCAGGGAUGAUA
Molecule: ribosomal RNA, 378 nt
Filed under: uncultured bacterium
Lineage: Bacteria
Description: bacterial SSU rRNA
Rfam family: Bacterial small subunit ribosomal RNA
Source: RNAcentral